GACGAACCGUCCAAACGUUAUUCGGAAUCACUGGGCUUAAAGCGUGCGUAGGCGGCUUGGCAAGUUGGGUGUGAAAUCCCUCGGCUCAACCGAGGAAUUGCGCCCAAGACUGCUGAGCUGGAGGGAGAUAGAGGUGAGCGGAACUAAUGGUGGAGCGGUGAAAUGCGUUGAUAUCAUUAGGAACACCGGUGGCGAAAGCGGCUCACUGGGUCUCUUCUGACGCUGAGGCACGAAAGCUAGGGGAGCGAACGGG
RNAcentral lists this unclassified non-coding RNA (253 nucleotides) under uncultured Pirellulaceae bacterium. RNAcentral describes it as "contains 16S-23S intergenic spacer region". It matches the Rfam family "Bacterial small subunit ribosomal RNA", at positions 524 to 776 of the family's 1533-position model. The record is from RNAcentral. Lineage: Bacteria; Pseudomonadati; Planctomycetota; Planctomycetia; Pirellulales; Pirellulaceae.